RNAcentral lists this ribosomal RNA (450 nucleotides) under uncultured Glomeromycotina. RNAcentral describes it as "SSU rRNA". It matches the Rfam family "Eukaryotic small subunit ribosomal RNA", at positions 569 to 1023 of the family's 1831-position model. Lineage: Eukaryota; Fungi; Glomeromycota. The record is from RNAcentral.
AGCAGCCGCGGUAAUUCCAGCUCCAAUAGCGUAUAUUAAAGUUGUUGCAGUUAAAAAGCUCGUAGUUGAAUUUCGGGAUCAUCAGGUUGGUCGUGCCUCUGGUAUGUACUGAUUUCGAUGGUUCCUCCUUCUUGAAGAACCGUAAUGCCAUUAAUUUGGUGUUGCGGGGAAACAGGACUGUUACUUUGAAAAAAUUAGAGUGUUUAAAGCAGGCAAUCGCUUGAAUACAUUAGCAUGGAAUAAUGAAAUAGGACGUUCGAUCCUAUUUUGUUGGUUUCUAGGAUUGACGUAAUGAUUAAUAGGGAUAGUUGGGGGCAUUAGUAUUCAAUUGUCAGAGGUGAAAUUCUUGGAUUUAUUGAAGACUAACUACUGCGAAAGCAUUUGCCAAGGAUGUUUUCAUUAAUCAAGAACGAAAGUUAGGGGAUCGAAGACGAUCAGAUACCGUCGUAG